UGAAGUUCUAAUAGCUGCAGAGGACUCGAUCACAGAAACAAAGAGUGACUUCUCAGACAAGGAAAUCCAAAGAACUGGUUUAUUUACAGCCGAGGGAGUCGGGUUCUGGUAAUUGUAGAAGGAGCAGGUGAGGUGAAAGAGAGUGAGCAGGCAGGCAGAGGAGCAGGCUGGAGCUAAUCCUGCAACCUUUGCUUUUCAAGGGAGAGAGUGGACCGGGACGAAGGUGACGUCCAACACAGAACUGACGGUUAUCGGAGUGACGCAACAGGACCAAAGGAACCACAAAAACACCUUUGGAUCGACGGAGAGCUUCAGUGUUUGUGGAGUCGCCCUGGUGAAAUGUGGAUGAGACCAAACAUGACUGGACCUCUGCUGUCACAAAGUCCUGCUGGGUAAAUACAAGGCGCUCUGCUCACUUUGAUGUGUCGCUCUCGUCAGUCUGCAGAUUUCAGCGCUGUUAGAACGGCUUUACAACCAAAUUCUGAAGAAACAGUGUACAUGGUGAGAAAUGGACCAUCUUCUAUGACAAUCUCUGCAGCUACUUCCCAUUGUUAUGGAGAGGAGGUGUUCCCAGAGGAGCAU
Long non-coding RNA from Austrofundulus limnaeus, 582 nucleotides. RefSeq lists it as uncharacterized. The transcript is spliced from 3 exons. The record is from RefSeq and is a predicted model, not a curated record. NCBI's taxonomy places the organism in Eukaryota, Metazoa, Chordata, Actinopteri, Cyprinodontiformes, Rivulidae.